GAUGAAGAACGUAGCGAAAUGCGAUACGUAAUGUGAAUUGCAGAAUUCAGUGAAUCAUCGAGUCUUUGAACGCACAUUGCGCCCCCUGGUAUUCCGGGGGGCAUGCCUGUCCGAGCGUCAUUUCUGUCCUCAAGCACGGCUUGUGUGUUGGGCCCCGUCCUCCGAUUCCGGGGGACGGGCCCGAAAGGCAGCGGCGGCACCGAGUCCGGUCCUCGAGCGUAUGGGGCUUUGUCACCCGCUCUGUAGGCCCGGCCGGCGCUUGCCGAUCAACCCAAAUUUUUAUCCAGGUUGACCUCGGAUCAGGUAGGGAUACCCGCUGAACUUAAGCAUAUCAAUAAGCGGAGGA
This 346-nucleotide unclassified non-coding RNA is filed under the name soil metagenome. RNAcentral describes it as "partial contains 5.8S ribosomal RNA, internal transcribed spacer 2, and large subunit ribosomal RNA". The stretch from base 1 to 120 matches the Rfam family "5.8S ribosomal RNA", at positions 35 to 154 of the family's 154-position model. The record is from RNAcentral.